This 253-nucleotide ribosomal RNA is filed under the name uncultured bacterium. Its description in RNAcentral is "partial 16S ribosomal RNA". It matches the Rfam family "Bacterial small subunit ribosomal RNA", at positions 524 to 776 of the family's 1533-position model. The record is from RNAcentral.
UACGUAGGGUGCAAGCGUUGUCCGGAAUUACUGGGCGUAAAGCGUACGUAGGCGGCUUUGUAAGUUAGAGGUGAAAGCCCGGGGCUCAACCCCGGAAUUGCCUUUAAGACUGCAUCGCUAGAAUCAUGGAGAGGUGAGUGGAAUUCCGAGUGUAGAGGUGAAAUUCGUAGAUAUUCGGAAGAACACCAGUGGCGAAGGCGACUCACUGGACAUGUAUUGACGCUGAGGUACGAAAGCGUGGGGAGCAAACAGG